This is a non-coding RNA of Parelaphostrongylus tenuis, 74 nucleotides long. The record is from the annotation of a GenBank genome assembly. NCBI's taxonomy places the organism in Eukaryota, Metazoa, Nematoda, Chromadorea, Rhabditida, Metastrongylidae.
GCGUCAGUAGUGCAACGGAUAGAGCACGCAUUCCCGGAAAGACUGAGGCGCAAGUUCUAGUUUCGCCUGAUGCG